CUAAGGUAGCGAAAUUCCUUGUCGGGUAAGUUCCGACCUGCACGAAUGGCGUAAUGAUGGCCAGGCUGUCUCCACCCGAGACUCAGUGAAAUUGAACUCGCUGUGAAGAUGCAGUGUACCCGCGGCAAGACGGAAAGACCCCGUGAACCUUUACUAUAGCUUGACACUGAACAUUGAGCCUUGAUGUGUAGGAUAGGUGGGAGGCUUUGAAGCGUGGACGCCAGUCUGCGUGGAGCCGACCUUGAAAUACCACCCUUUAAUGUUUGAUGUUCUAACGUGGACCCGUUAGCCGGGUUGCGGACAGUGUCUGGUGGGUAGUUUGACUGGGGCGGUCUCCUCCUAAAGAGUAACGGAGGAGCACGAAGGUUGGCUAAUCCUGGUCGGACAUCAGGAGGUUAGUGCAAUGGCAUAAGCCAGCUUGACUGCGAGCGUGACGGCGCGAGCAGGUGCGAAAGCAGGUCAUAGUGAUCCGGUGGUUCUGAAUGGAAGGGCCAUCGCUCAACGGAUAAAAGGUACUCCGGGGAUAACAGGCUGAUACCGCCCAAGAGUUCAUAUCGACGGCGGUGUUUGGCACCUCGAUGUCGGCUCAUCACAUCCUGGGGCUGAAGUAGGUCCCAAGGGUAUGGCUGUUCGCCAUUUAAAGUGGUACGCGAGCUGGGUUUAGAACGUCGUGAGACAGUUCGGUCCCUAUCUGCCGUGGGCGCUGGAGAACUGAGGGGGGCUGCUCCUAGUACGAGAGGACCGGAGUGGACGCAUCACUGGUGUUCGGGUUGUCAUGCCAAUGGCACUGCCCGGUAGCUAAAUGCGGAAGAGAUAAGUGCUGAAAGCAUCUAAGCACGAAACUUGCCCCGA
This 852-nucleotide ribosomal RNA is filed under the name Salmonella enterica. Its description in RNAcentral is "partial 23S ribosomal RNA". It matches the Rfam family "Bacterial large subunit ribosomal RNA", at positions 1951 to 2802 of the family's 2925-position model. The record is from RNAcentral. Lineage: Bacteria; Pseudomonadati; Pseudomonadota; Gammaproteobacteria; Enterobacterales; Enterobacteriaceae.